CGGGACGGGUGAGUAAUGUCGGGGAAACCGCCCGAUGGAGGGGGAUAACUACUGGAAACGGUAGCUAAUACCGCAUAACGUCGCAAGACCAAAGAGGGGACCUUCGGGCCUCUUGCCAUCGGAUGUGCCCAGAUGGGAUUAGCUAGUAGGUGGGGUAACGGCUCACCUAGGCGACGAUCCCUAGCUGGUCUGAGAGGAUGACCAGCCACACUGGAACUGAGACACGGUCCAG
RNAcentral lists this ribosomal RNA (232 nucleotides) under uncultured bacterium. RNAcentral describes it as "partial 16S ribosomal RNA". It matches the Rfam family "Bacterial small subunit ribosomal RNA", at positions 100 to 334 of the family's 1533-position model. The record is from RNAcentral.